Molecule: RNA transcript, 2747 nt
Organism: Panicum virgatum (switchgrass)
Lineage: Eukaryota; Viridiplantae; Streptophyta; Magnoliopsida; Poales; Poaceae
Gene name: telomere-binding protein 1-like
Exons: 10
Source: RefSeq, a predicted model, not a curated record
GGAAUCUACCCUCCCCUCCGUUAAACCUCUCUCCCUCCCCUCUCUAUCCUCCAUUCCUCCUCCAUCCCUUCUUCGCCCUCGAGGCUUUGGGCUCGUCCCUCUCCGGCCAAAUCUGGAAGCAGCGACGGCACCCGAGGCCGUCGCACCCCCGCGCUCCUUGCCCCGGCACCCGACGCCUCCCUUCCGCAGCCCGAUCCGGAGCGGAGCGGCUACCGCUGUCCAAAUCGAGCCACCUGCGCCCGUCGGGGGAGAAGCAGGGUGCGCAUCCAGCCUCUCCGCUGAGCCGUCCACAAGGAUCCAUUUCCUCUCCCAUCGGCGGCGUGGAAGAGAACCGGUGAGGGGAUUGCGAAGCUAGAAGCCCACGACGUCGACCGCCGAGCCACCGCGCACGCUCCUGCAGGCAGAUAAAGACGAUGGAUGUGGUGUUUGUCUCCCUUUGCCGUCUGUGAAGACCCGCUGUGAGGUGAUAUCAAGAUAUGGUGAUGCGGAAGAGGUCCGAUUAUGGAUCCCGCGGCCUCCGAGUCGCAACCAUGCCACGUGUUCCAAACUCAGCUCGGGGGAAACGCACCACCAGGAAAAAGAAAGAUGAGAUGUGCGCAUUUGAUUUGCUCGCCACCGUUGCAGGAACAUUAUUGGCAGAUCAGGACAAUUCAGCCAAUGUUCCUAAUACUAGUGGUGCAGCAAAAGCUAAAAAUGAGAAAGCAGUUAAAGAAGAGCCACAUGAUGAAAUUCUGCCCCUAAAAAACAUAGUUAUGGAGAAAGAUUGCUGCAGUGGGUGUGUAGUGGGUUCUGGUGGUAUCCGUUCCUUUCCUAGGCAAGCUAACAACUGCUUGGCAGAAAACUCGUCGACAAGAAAUGAAGCUGGGUCAAUAUUAGAGUCACUAACAGUGAAAUCAAAUAUGUUAGUUAGGGAUUCGUUGGUUAGUUGUACAAGACCAUGUGAAACUAGCCAUGGUCUUGGCAUAAUUCCUGAGUUUGGAGCUCAUGGAAUAUGCCAUCCAGGAUCCUCAAGUUCAGCAGAAGCUGAACAAGUGCACCGGGCUGAAUCAAAUGUGGUCAGAAGACAAGCAGAUGGGCAUGCUCCGUCUCUUCACAGUUUGUUUGACUCUGUGGAUCUGGAUGGUAGACCUCCUGCUUUGGUUAGCUCUGACAGUAGCUCGUGUGUUCCUCUGUGCAGCCAUGACAAGGAACAUCAAACCUCUUCCUUGUGUCGGGGUGAAGUGCAGUAUACUGCGGACAAAGACGAUGAUGAAAAUUCUUCUGGAUGCACAGAUCCAAGCACCAUAGGGGAUAAGGGUUACAAACCACAAUAUCUAGGUAACCAUAGGAUAAGGAAAUUGCUUGCCUCGAAGGUAAGGAAGGCAGCACGUAAUAAUAUCUGUGGAGGUAUUCCAUCAAAAAAGAUUUGUGGAGGGAAGUCCAACAAAGGUAGCAAGUUAAAUUUAUGCAGCAGAAAAAUACCUGCCACACAUCAAAAGGGGCAAAGGACGAUACUCGAAGAAAAAACUAGCGCAUCAUGCAACAUCAGUUGCUAAAGAAAUGCCAACUGAAGCCAGCGGGACAUCUAUGGAAGGUCGAAAUAAAUCAUGCGGAUCUGACAAUUACCAUGUUAAGCUAAGAAUAAAGUCAUUCAACAUCCCAGAAUUGUUCAUCAAUGUCCCUGAAAAUGCAACCAUUGGUUCAUUGAAGAGAACUGUUAUGGAUGUCGUCAAUAGUAUAAUGCAAGGUGGUCUACGCGUUGGUGUUCUUCUUCAAGGAAAGGAUAUCCAAGAUGACAACAAGACACUUCGUCAAGCUGGGAUAUGCCAUGAUAAAAAACUAAAUAACAUAGACUUUACACUGGAAUGUGAAAGUGGGCAAGAUUCUCCCUCUCGAGUUGUCAUACCUGAACAGAUGGAUUUACUCAGUGCAGAUGUUGUGGAGCCAUUAGCUAGGAUGAAGUGUGAAGAGCAUUUUCCUGAAACUGGUGGCGAUGACAACCAGCAGCGAAUACCUCCUUACCGAAGCCGCUCUCUCACUGAUCUGUAUUCUGUUGUUCAUCCUGUUGAGAUGGCUUCACAAGAUACACCAGCAAGUUCCCAGGCCAUUGUCCCUGUUGCACCUUCAGAAGAUGGUGCUCUAGCUAUUGUGCCUCUUUGUAAGCCCAGGCCAUCUGACAUCGGACUAAGGCGCACUAGGAGGCCCUUCACUGUUGGCGAGGUUGAGGUGCUGGUGGAAGCUGUCGAACUGAUUGGGACUGGAAGGUGGAGAGCUGUUAAAAUGCAUGCAUUUGACCAUGUGGACCGCAGGACAUAUGUUGACCUUAAGGACAAGUGGAAGACCUUAGUUCACACUGCAAGUAUAUCCCCGCAACAACGAAGAGGCCAGCCAGUCCCACAAGAACUCCUGGACCGCGUGCUUGCGGCGCAGGCCUACUGGUCCCAGCAGCAGGCAAAGCUCCAGGACAAGCCUCAUGGCAAGUCUGCGCUUCCUGAGAUCUGCCCUGCCUAGGAAUGGAAGCUGGUCUUUGUUGUAAAUACUGUUCCUAAUAGAAACAAGUUAGAAGGGAUGUCCAAAGAAAUCAGACUAAUUUGUGUGCCAUUGCAAACUUACAACAUUGCUUUUCUUUUUCGUGCUCUGUUGUUUGGUCUCUGUUCAAGCCAGGGGUUAUGUCUCCUCUAUGGGUAAAUAAGGGAGAGAACCUUGUUUGGCACUUGUAAAUGCUGUCACAGACUGUUGCUAUGUUUCAUAAAGAAAAACCUUUGACA